Molecule: RNA transcript, 1210 nt
Organism: Medicago truncatula (barrel medic)
Lineage: Eukaryota; Viridiplantae; Streptophyta; Magnoliopsida; Fabales; Fabaceae
Gene name: tobamovirus multiplication protein 2B
Exons: 6
Source: RefSeq, a predicted model, not a curated record
AAAAAGUUGAAGGAAUAAAAGGGAUGAAAAAAAUGGAACAACGGCGUCAAGAUCCACCAACCGCAGCAAACAGACGAAGGCCGCUGUGGCGACCUAUGUCGACGCAAAACGCAGCUACCGGCGGCGACAAUUCAGCGAAGGCAGUAGUCGCCGAGCAAAUCUCACAGACAGUGCAAUCAACAUCAAACCUUCUUCACCUCAUGCAACACUCUUCUCCUGCUCAGGCUAAACUUGUUAAGCUUCCCAAGAAUCUUUUGGCGAAGGUUUCUACUGUUAAGAACACACAGCAGGUUUUAGAGCAGUUGCCGAGAGUAAUAUCGUCUCUGGAUGCACACAUGGAAAAUGGGUUGCAAAAUGUUCCACAGCUGAAGACUGUCGUUCAGUUACUUGCAAAUAUGGAAAGUAGCCAGCUUAGUUCACUAUCCCGAACCCAUGUUCUUGAGAAGGAACAUGAACCAGGAAACCAGUCACAAGGGACAGAUUAAUCUAACUUUGGCUGCUUGGGAGUUUCCCCUUUGAUCAGUUCAUGCAGAAUUUUUCAAUGCUUUGGACUGAUCAUCCUUGACUUCAUCCUACCAGCUAUGUUUCUUCUUGUGUCUUUCUGCAAAUCAAACAACAAAGAUUUGUCCCUUCUUUUGUAUAAUGUAAAUGGUGAUUCAACUGUAGAAAGCUGUCAAUAUUAUGACUUAUGAGUGAUAAUGUGCCAAAUUUUCAGACUGGGAAUCUUGACUAAUGAGUUCAAGGUCAUGCUACUAAUUGAUGGAGAACAAUUGUCAACAUAUAUAGUCCUGCAAAGGUCUUAGAUCCUGCUAUUCAAGGACAAGUUAUGGGAUUAUCAUUGCAUCAACCAAAGUUUGCAACCAUACAACCAAGAAAACAAGAGUGAAGCUUCAGAAUGAUUGCAAAGUUCUCAAUUGGAGAUUGAAUUUUGCUUAUUGCCCCCCAAAGUGGUUCGCUUUGUAACUCCCGAACGGCUUUUCUGUGUGUUUAUAAGCCCUUUACGACUUGGAAACGUUGUUUUGUAGACUUAAAACAGCAAAUAAGGAGCAAAAGAGUAGUCAUCUUUAAGAUUUUUGCAGUUUCCUAGGAAAAAUAUUGAGACCACUGGUACUUGAAUACCAGUGUCCACUUUUUCAAACUUCAAACAAUCAAAUUGGUUGCAAACCUCCUCAUUGAUUUGUCUAGCUAAGUAAUUUUGUAUUAAACAACA